UUUGGUGGCUUUCGUAGUAGAUACAGCAUCGAUUUGGCUGUGACAAGGAAAGCAUUCUCAUUAUAGCUCACAGAAUUUUUCUCUCCCUCAGCUCUACCUAUUUGUUGGUCAUAUCCAGCCUCAUUAAAGUAAGGCUUCUCAUUUAGGACAAGAGCCUGUAGUGAGAGAAGAACUUGAAGAAUAGUGGAGGUUCCAGGAUUCCACACUUCAGAGCCUGCGCCUGUCCAAGUAUUUAGGAGACUCAGACAGAUUUUCCCUGAUUCAUAUAAAUUAGGAUUUAAGCGGAGCCCGCCAGAAUUGUAGUGCACCAUCUGCAUUCAAAGAUCACAUUGAUAACAUUAGAGUUUGUUCAGAGUUGGAGCUUUUAUCUAGAGAUCUUGAACAUAAGUGAAGGGCCUUAUAAACAAUGGUGCUGUAAAAAAAAAAUACAAGCACUGCAAACUACACUUAAAAGCUUACUGGUGGUUCGUUAGGAUACUCUGGAGGGAAACAUAUAUCAAAGAAGAACAACCCGUCAUGAUACGGAGUUCCAGAUGCACCAACAAUUACUGCUCGCAUGAGAUCCAUUCUUUCUUCAAACACACGAACAUAAAUAGAGUCUGUUUGGGUCAAUAGAGAUUGCAAUGAGGAAAAUGCUCCUGAAAUGGAAGUUCCACCAAGUGUUUGGAAUAUGCUGGAUUUAACACUGGAGAAAAGUUCAAAGGCCACUCGUGGAAGGAAAAAGGAACUACACUCAAGAUUCUGUUCAUAAUUCUCUUUUCUACCAUCACCAUUUAACAAGUCCUGAAAAUUAAACAUCACGUUCAGUUUAUACUGGGCAGAUGCAUUUGAUAUUCAGUAUCUCCGGAAGAUUAUCUCAACUACUGAAACCAGAGAUCUGAUGCCAAAGAAGAUUUGCCCGCCAGGAUAAUAGGAAUCAAUCAAGGACUCCAAAGUGCCAAAGGAGAUAUGCCCAAUUGCGAAUGAAAUAUUUCACAGAACGAAACACUUCAAACAACAAAUAUAAACCAGCUAGUAGCUAAAAUUAUGAGAUGAUUUUUCUGU
Molecule: long non-coding RNA, 1044 nt
Filed under: Medicago truncatula (barrel medic)
Lineage: Eukaryota; Viridiplantae; Streptophyta; Magnoliopsida; Fabales; Fabaceae
Description: lncRNA gene25005
Source: RNAcentral